Molecule: unclassified non-coding RNA, 156 nt
Filed under: uncultured Diaporthe
Lineage: Eukaryota; Fungi; Ascomycota; Sordariomycetes; Diaporthales; Diaporthaceae
Description: sequence contains ITS2
Source: RNAcentral
CAACCCUCAAGCAUUGCUUGGUGUUGGGGCACUGCCUGUAAAAGGGCAGGCCCUGAAAUUCAGUGGCGAGCUCGCCAGGACCCCGAGCGCAGUAGUUAAACCCUCGCUUUGGAAGGCCCUGGCGGUGCCCUGCCGUUAAACCCCCAACUUCUGAAA